Molecule: ribosomal RNA, 318 nt
Filed under: Triticum aestivum (bread wheat)
Lineage: Eukaryota; Viridiplantae; Streptophyta; Magnoliopsida; Poales; Poaceae
Description: partial small subunit ribosomal RNA
Source: RNAcentral
AUGCCCGAUUGCAUCCUUCCCCAAUCUUACUUGGGGCUUCCUCUUUCCACCCACAAACUUAAUCUCAAAGAUUUCUUCUUCAUCAUUGAAAAAGUUCAUCGUUGCUUAGCUGGUUGGAGGGGCCUUCUUCUAUCUCUAGCUGGAAGAGUUGUUCUGGUUCGAUCUAUUCUGCGUGCCCUGCCAAUCUAUGCCAUGAGUGUCCUUCUCCUCCCUGCUGGAACCAUCCAGGAAAUCGAGAAACGUUGCAGGGCCUUCUUUUGGUUCGGCCAGGAAACGACAUCUGGUGCCAAUUGUAAGGUCGCUUGGGACAUUGUUUGU